RNAcentral lists this ribosomal RNA (253 nucleotides) under uncultured bacterium. RNAcentral's name for it is "partial 16S ribosomal RNA". It matches the Rfam family "Bacterial small subunit ribosomal RNA", at positions 524 to 776 of the family's 1533-position model. The record is from RNAcentral.
UACAGAGGGGGCAAGCGUUGUUCGGAAUUACUGGGCGUAAAGGGCGCGUAGGCGGCCUGUUAAGUCGAACGUGAAAUCCCCGGGCUCAACCCGGGAACUGCGUCCGAUACUGGCAGGCUUGAAUCCGGGAGAGGGAUGCGGAAUUCCAGGUGUAGCGGUGAAAUGCGUAGAUAUCGGGAGGAACACCAGUGGCGAAGGCGACUUCCUGGCCUGUUCUUGACGCUGAGGCGCGAAAGCUAGGGUAGCAAACGGG